CCUACGGGAGGCAGCAGUGGGGAAUCUUCCGCAAUGGGCGCAAGCCUGACGGAGCGACGCCGCGUGAGCGAGGAAGGCCUUCGGGUUGUAAAGCUCUGUCUUCAGGGACGAGGGAGGACGGUACCUGAGGAGGAAGCCCCGGCUAACUACGUGCCAGCAGCCGCGGUAAUACGUAGGGGGCGAGCGUUGUCCGGAAUUACUGGGCGUAAAGCGCACGUAGGCGGGAAUCUAAGUCAGGAGUGAAAACUUAGGGCUCAACCUUAAGCUUGCUCUUGAGACUGGAUUUCUUGAGGACAGGAGAGGGGAGCGGAAUUCCCAGUGUAGCGGUGAAAUGCGUAGAUAUUGGGAGGAACACCAGUGGCGAAGGCGGCUCUCUGGCCUGUAACUGACGCUGAGGUGCGAAAGCGUGGGGAGCAAACGGGAUUAGAUACCCUUGUAGU
This 440-nucleotide ribosomal RNA is filed under the name uncultured Peptococcaceae bacterium. RNAcentral describes it as "partial 16S ribosomal RNA". It matches the Rfam family "Bacterial small subunit ribosomal RNA", at positions 338 to 794 of the family's 1533-position model. The record is from RNAcentral. Lineage: Bacteria; Bacillati; Bacillota; Clostridia; Eubacteriales; Peptococcaceae.